This 468-nucleotide ribosomal RNA is filed under the name uncultured bacterium. RNAcentral describes it as "partial 16S ribosomal RNA". It matches the Rfam family "Bacterial small subunit ribosomal RNA", at positions 28 to 507 of the family's 1533-position model. The record is from RNAcentral.
GACGAACGCUGGCGGCGUGCUUAACACAUGCAAGUCGAACGGAAAGGCCCUGCUUUUGUGGGGUGCUCGAGUGGCGAACGGGUGAGUAACACGUGAGUAACCUGCCCUUGACUUUGGGAUAACUUCAGGAAACUGGGGCUAAUACCGGAUAGGAGCUCCUGCUGCAUGGUGGGGGUUGGAAAGUUUCGGCGGUUGGGGAUGGACUCGCGGCUUAUCAGCUUGUUGGUGGGGUAGUGGCUUACCAAGGCUUUGACGGGUAGCCGGCCUGAGAGGGUGACCGGCCACAUUGGGACUGAGAUACGGCCCAGACGCCUACGGGAGGCAGCAGUGGGGAAUAUUGCACAAUGGGCGGAAGCCUGAUGCAGCAAUGCCGCGUGCGGGAUGACGGCCUUCGGGUUGUAAACCGCUUUCGCCUGUGACGAAGCGUGAGUGACGGUAAUGGGUAAAGAAGCACCGGCUAACUACGUG